This 2204-nucleotide long non-coding RNA is filed under the name Homo sapiens (human). Its description in RNAcentral is "HSALNT0384724". Lineage: Eukaryota; Metazoa; Chordata; Mammalia; Primates; Hominidae. The record is from RNAcentral.
CGGCUCACUGCAACGUCUACCUCCUGGGUUCAAGCAAUUCUCCUGCCUCAGCCUCCCGAGUAGCUGGGAUUACAGGCGCCUGCCACCACGCCCGGGUAAUUUUUGUAUUUUGAGGAGACACGGGGUUUCACCAUGUUGGCCAGACUAGUCUAUAACUCUUGACCUCAGGUGAUCCACCCACCUCGGCCUCCCAAAGUACUGGGAUUACAGGCGUGAGCCACCACGCUUGGCCUCUGAUUUCUUCAAUAGUGUUUAAAAAAUAAUGGGUUUUUUUCAUUGUCCUAAACCAUCUAAAGUACUCAUAGAAUAUUAAAUAUGUAACAUCCUAAGAUAUUUGUAGCUAUGUCUACCUAUCUGUGUGUUUUGACUUGGGAUAAGUAUUAACAUUGGUUUCUGUGCAUUUCAGAUGACCACCUAAGAAAGGAGGAACAGAAAAGUACUAACAUUGAAGAUCUUCAUGUUUCUCAGGCAGUCAACAGAUAAUGCUUUGUUUGGGGUAUCUUUUGUCUUAAAAUUGUAUUAUUAAUUAAAUAACUUAUUUAUUGUCCCAAUGUUACCAAAAUGCACCACUAAUGUUUGUAGAAAUUGGAGUUUCUACAAAACACCCCUCAUGUUUAACUACAUUUGUGAAUAAAAGCUAACUCUUGUCAUCUAGCUUAUUGGAUUUGACUUGAAAAAAAAAGUAUUGUUUUUACGAAGUAUUUUUUGUUUUUUUGAGAUGGAGUCUCGCUCUGUCACCCAGACUGGAGUGCAGUGGCACGAUCUCGGCUCACUGCAAUCUCUGCCUCCCGGAUUCAAGUGAUUCUCCUGCCUCAGCCUCCCAAGUAGCUGGGAAAACAGGCCUGUGCCACCACACCGGAGUAGUUUUUGUAUUUUUAGUAGAGAUGGGGUUUCACCAUGCUGGCCAGGCUGGUCUUGAACUCCUGACCUCAGGUGAUCUGUGUGCCCCAGCCUCCCAAAGCGCUGGGAUUACAGGUGUGAGCCACUGAGCCCAGCCAUUUAGGAAGUAUUAUAAAGGCCCUUAAAGUUUGUAAGGAAAUGAAAGGGCUUUGUAUUACCUUUUCAAUAGGCAACAAUGUACUUUUUCUUUCCUUAGACUUUGGCUUACUGGAAGAUUUAAUUAAAAGGUAGAGGAGAAGUAAAUUUGCUGUAAUAAUUUUGCUGUAAAUAAAACAAAGAGUUUAUUUUAUUAGAUAAAGAAUGUGAAGUAAGCAUGAAGAGACAGGCUUUGGGAGAAAUACCAGAAAGGGAUUUUUCAAAGAUGGCAUUGUUUAAUCUCCGUGUGGCCCUCGGUUGUGCAAUCACAGAUGAGCCAGAAGAGGGCCAGCCCCCUACUUGUUUGGGCUCCGAAACUCUUACCAAACAUCAAUUUUUAUUCUUGGGAUAGAAAAAUAGUAUGUGCUAUCUCUAAUACGCUACUUCGAUAUUUAUUAAAGAAGUAUUUUUAAUGUAGUGUCCACAGGCUCAUUUCAUUGAAAACAACUGACUAUGAUGAUAGACAGCUCCUGAUUGGCAAAAGUUCGAUGGUAUAUUCAGAAUUAAAUUUUGCCUGCACACCUAAACACUGACAACAUUUAGCUUAAAGGUUUUCCAUGGAGAAGAGUGGUAAGAGCUGUAGUUAGCAAAAUUGGCAUCCUCUUUAGGGUGUCAAUUCUGUGCUGCUUUGCAAAUUGUUGAAACUUUUGAUUUUCUGUUUGGCAAUGCUAGUCAGUGUUCACUUCUUACAGAUUAGCCAAGAAUUUUUAUCUAAAUGCAGAAACUUAUUAAUGAAAUCCAUUUAAACUAUACUUACACAACAUUUUGGGAGGCCCUGCUGGUAAAAUUAUAUAUGGAUGCAGAAGUAUUGCAAGAGUCCAUUUUCCAUUUUUAAAUCUGCAAUAUCUGAUUACAUUGAUGAAUUCCGUUGUAUUGUAUGUGUGAAUAUAAAUAUCUGAAUUCUCCCGGGGGACUUGGUUUUCGUCCAAGGAUGUUGGCAGUGGACACUUAGUUUACCUCAGGAAUUGCAAUCAUGUAAGACUAUAUUCGGAAAAAAUGCUGGAGUAUAUAAUUUUGGAUACUGAUAUAAAAUCAUCAAGAUGGAAGUUAAGCAGAAUUGUCACGUGUAGUCCAUAGCGCUUUUAUAUGCAUUAUUCUGUAAUUUGUUUGUACUGCGGCAACUUUUUAUACUUUCAAUGUAUCAUUUAAUAAAAAAAAUAAGCAAGUCA